UACGAAGGGGGCUAGCGUUGUUCGGAAUUACUGGGCGUAAAGCGCGCGCAGGCGGUCCUUCAAGUCAGAGGUGAAAGCCCAGAGCUCAACUCUGGAAUGGCCUUUGAAACUGGAGGACUUGGGUACGGGAGAGGUGAGUGGAAUUCCGAGUGUAGAGGUGAAAUUCGUAGAUAUUCGGAAGAACACCAGUGGCGAAGGCGGCUCACUGGCCCGUUACCGACGCUCAGGCGCGACAGCGUGGGGAGCAAACAGG
This 253-nucleotide ribosomal RNA is filed under the name uncultured bacterium. RNAcentral describes it as "partial 16S ribosomal RNA". It matches the Rfam family "Bacterial small subunit ribosomal RNA", at positions 524 to 776 of the family's 1533-position model. The record is from RNAcentral.